Long non-coding RNA from Neofelis nebulosa (Clouded leopard), 1909 nucleotides. RefSeq lists it as uncharacterized. The record is from RefSeq and is a predicted model, not a curated record. The transcript is spliced from 2 exons. NCBI's taxonomy places the organism in Eukaryota, Metazoa, Chordata, Mammalia, Carnivora, Felidae.
AGUGGCUGAUGACCCGGGAGCCCCCCGGGUGCCGGCGGGUGAACUCGCUGAUGUUGUACACCUUCCGGUCGAUCACGAGCCACCGCUCAUUCUCGCGCCCGGAGCGCUGCGCCACCUCGUCCCAGGAAAUACCAUGUAAGACACAGCAAGAAGGCAGUCCCAUCUGCAAGCCAGGAAGAAAUCCCACCGUGGUGACACCCUGAUCUUAGACAUUCAGUCUAACCCUAACCCUAACUGCGAGAAAACGCAUUUCUGCUUUUUAAGCCACUGGGCCUGUGGUGUUUUGAUAUGGUGGCCUGAGCUGAUAUAUUACGUAUCCUGAGAGAAAAAUCUCAGUCAGAAAAACAAACGAAAUGGUCAGCAACCAAGAACAUUCAACUGGAAUUACAGGCCAGAUCUUGUACAAAACAAGUUCCAAAGAGCAGGACGCGGGUAACCAGAGGGCCCGAUGACAGCCCUGGUCUGCCAUAGGGUAGUCGUAUAAUCUUGGGCAAAACGCUCCGGCUUCUGCCUGUACCUUCGCCACUGAGAUGGUCGGACUAUAUGAGUUUUGUGAAUAUAUGUUAUUAUUAUUUUUAAGUAUAGAGGUAAUUCGUGUUCAUUUAAAAACUUCAAUCAGGGGCGCCUGGGUGGCUCAGUCGGUUGAGCGUCCAACUUCGGCUCAGGUCAUGAUCUCGUGGUCUGUGAGUUUGAGCCCCACGUCGGGCUCUGUGCUGACAGCUCGGGGCCUGGAUCCUGCUUCAGAUCCUGUGUCUCCCCCUCUCUCUGCCCCUUCACCACUCUCUCUCUCUCUCUCUCUCUCUCAAAAAUAAACAUUUAAAAAAUAAAAUUUAAAUACAAUAAAAUAAAAUAAAAUAAAAACUUCAACCAUUACAGAAAUAUGUGGAGUAAAACGUGAACAUUCCCUUGCCUUUCUCUCUGCAGAGUUAACCAUAGUUACCCGCAUAGCACAGAUCCUCCUAGACUUUUUUCCGCCAUGGCCCUGCUCAAAUGUUCACCCUUUCAUGUGGCCUUCCCAUGUCUCAGGUCCCGUAUCUUCCUGCUCUUUUCUCCUUUGGCACUUUAUAUGGGAAGACAAAGAGGUCAAGGGGGCUGAAGGCAAAGGGAAGCAGGUGCCUCUGUGGGCCGGUCAUGGGGGCAGGGCAGCAAUUCAGAGCUUCUCAUGCUUUGGAGUAGGAAACCUCUGAAGAGCCAGUUAUGGAGCUGCCCACCCCAGCACCCAACUGACAAAGAGAGCCAGUGUGGCCGGGAUGUUCAUGGGAAAAGAGCCACAAUGUAUACCUUAUAGAACAAAUUUUAAAUGUAUUUGGUCAUUUGAUUGUUUGUUCGUUCAUUCAUUCAUUCAUUCAUUCAUUCAUUUUGAGAGAGAAAGUACGCCUGAGCCAGCGCAGAGCCUGAUGCGGGGCUUGAACUCACGAACCGUGAGAUCAUUGGUCCUUUAAUUGCUUUAAUCGAGGCAUAACGUACAUAUGGUAACAUACACAAAUCUUGAGUAUACAACUUGAAGAUUUUCACACACACACACACACACACACACACACACACACACACACACUUAUGCUGCUACCACCCAGACAAGGAACAUUUCCAAUACCCAGGGCGGUCUCCCCAUCCCGAGGAAGCCACUCUUCUAACCAGUAUCACCAUCUAUUCACUUGGGCUGUUCUUGGAUCUCAUCUAAAUGGCAUCUCGCAGCACGUUGUAUCGUAGGUCUGCUGUCUUUUGAUCAUCACUGCGUCUGUGAAAUUCCUCCAGGUUGUUGCACAUGAACAAUAACAAUUUUUAUUGCUGAGUGCUGUCCCACCGUGGGACCAUAUCACGAUUUAUUUAUGCUUCCUACUGCUGAUGGACGUUUGUCACGUUUCCAGUUUGGGGCUGUUACGAAUAAAGCUGUCUGGAUUGUUCUGUG